Molecule: ribosomal RNA, 1338 nt
Filed under: synthetic construct
Also listed under: 1 other name
Description: bacterial SSU rRNA
Rfam family: Bacterial small subunit ribosomal RNA
Source: RNAcentral
GACGAACGCUGGCGGCGCGCCUAACACAUGCAAGUCGAACGAGCGAGAGAGAGCUUGCUUUCUCGAGCGAGUGGCGAACGGGUGAGUAACGCGUGAGGAACCUGCCUCAAAGAGGGGGACAACAGUUGGAAACGACUGCUAAUACCGCAUAAGCCCACGGCUCGGCAUCGAGCAGAGGGAAAAGGAGCAAUCCGCUUUGAGAUGGCCUCGCGUCCGAUUAGCUAGUUGGUGAGGUAACGGCCCACCAAGGCAACGAUCGGUAGCCGGACUGAGAGGUUGAACGGCCACAUUGGGACUGAGACACGGCCCAGACUCCUACGGGAGGCAGCAGUGGGGAAUAUUGCACAAUGGGGGAAACCCUGAUGCAGCGACGCCGCGUGGAGGAAGAAGGUCUUCGGAUUGUAAACUCCUGUUGUUGGGGAAGAUAAUGACGGUACCCAACAAGGAAGUGACGGCUAACUACGUGCCAGCAGCCGCGGUAAAACGUAGGUCACAAGCGUUGUCCGGAAUUACUGGGUGUAAAGGGAGCGCAGGCGGGAAGACAAGUUGGAAGUGAAAUCUAUGGGCUCAACCCAUAAACUGCUUUCAAAACUGUUUUUCUUGAGUAGUGCAGAGGUAGGCGGAAUUCCCGGUGUAGCGGUGGAAUGCGUAGAUAUCGGGAGGAACACCAGUGGCGAAGGCGGCCUACUGGGCACCAACUGACGCUGAGGCUCGAAAGUGUGGGUAGCAAACAGGAUUAGAUACCCUGGUAGUCCACACCGUAAACGACAAUAAAGGGGUGUUGGAGGAUUGACCCCCUCAGCGCCGCAGUUAACACAAUAAGUAAUCCACCUGGGGAGUGCGACCGCAAGGGUGAAACUUAAAGGAAUUGACGGGGGCCCGCACAAGCAGUGGAGUAUGUGGUUUAAUUCGACGCAACGCGAAGAACCUUACCAAGUCUUGACAUCCCUCGACAGGCAUAGAAAUAUGUUUUUUUUUUGGAGCAAGGAGACAGGUGGUGCAUGGUUGUCGUCAGCUCGUGUCGUGAGAUGUUAGGUUAAGUCCCGCAACGAGCGCAACCCCUAUGGUCAGUUAUUACGCAAGAGGACUCUGGCCAGACUGCCGUUGACAAAACGGAGGAAGGGGGGGAGGACGUCAAAUCAUCAUGCCCCUUAUGACUUGGGGUACACACGUACUACAAUGGCGUUAAACAAAGAGAAGCGAGACCGCGAGGGGGAGCAAAACUCAGAAACAACGUCCCAGUUCGGAGUGCAGGCUGCAACUCGCCUGCACGAAGUCGGAAUUGCUAGUAAUCGUGGAUCAGCAUGCCACGGUGAAUACGUUCCCGGGCCUUGCACA